This 886-nucleotide long non-coding RNA is filed under the name Mus spicilegus (steppe mouse). Its description in RNAcentral is "lncRNA (ENSMSIG00000008150.1)". The record is from RNAcentral. Lineage: Eukaryota; Metazoa; Chordata; Mammalia; Rodentia; Muridae.
CUAGAUCCUCCAGGAUGCAAAGACUGAUGGGAGAAUGGAGGAGGAAGCAACAUGGCAGGGCAGACUGAACAUGAUGGGGCUGGGAAUGAAGUAAGCGUACUGCCUUUGAGUAGAUAAUCAUUGUGCAGAGAGAAGACUGGAGACAGCUGACCCUACCUUCUGGUUUCUGACAGAAUGAGGUCCACCACAAAACUGGAGGCUAUUGGAGGGAAGAGCAGUCCUGACUCCAGUCUAUUCUUACAGUAGAAUCAGGCCUGGAGGGAAAGGCUACAGCAUGCUGGUCCUCACCUGCAACCUGCCCUGGCUUGUCCACCUGCAUUGCAGGGCUCUCUUGUCUACAAUCACCAAGACACUGGGAAGAAAAAUUCUCCCCACUCUUGAAGACAACAGACCAUGCAAGAAUCCCUGCUCAGAUCCCUGCAGAGACAGCUGUGGAAGCUGUGAGGAGAGGCUGCUGCAGUCCUAGAAGCCUUCCUGAAAGAGCUGCAGUCAAGUUCAAGGGCGUCAUGCCCUGCUCACCAGGGUUAUCCUCCACUGUCUCUUUUUUUCUCUUUUAAAUAUGAUAUCUCCUGUAAGAAAUAAUCUGGGCAAAGCCUCGCCAAUCAAAAAGCAUUUAGAUGACAAAUCAGAACAUGGCUUCUUUUCAGAAAAUAGAUGUCACCCUUUUCAUCCUAAAUCAAGGCAGCUAAAGAUGAACUUCCAUCUUUCAACAUAGGUGUCUUGGACACUAUUCAUAGACUUGUCUCAUCAUAGCUGACAUAAGUGGAAAGAAUUGUGAAGCCAGAGCUGGUCAUAGAAACUUAGAUACCACCAAGCUAUCUGGAAGUUUUACAUUGUAACUGUGGCUUAGAAUAAAGAGGCAAAGAACUUUAGAGCGAUAAAGAGG